RNAcentral lists this ribosomal RNA (202 nucleotides) under uncultured bacterium. Its description in RNAcentral is "partial 16S ribosomal RNA". It matches the Rfam family "Bacterial small subunit ribosomal RNA", at positions 524 to 727 of the family's 1533-position model. The record is from RNAcentral.
UACGGAGGGUGCAAGCGUUAUCCGGAUUCACUGGGUUUAAAGGGUGCGUAGGUGGGUUGUGAAGUCAGUGGUGAAAUCUCCAAGCUUAACUUGGAACUGCCGUUGAUACUAUAAUCUUGAAUGUCGUGGAGGUGAGCGGAAUAUGUCAUGUAGCGGUGAAAUGCUUAGAUAUGACAUAGAACACCAAUUGCGAAGGCAGCUC